AACGUAGGAGGCGAGCGUUAUCCGGAUUUACUGGGUGUAAAGCGCAUGCAGGCGGUUCGUUAAGUUGGGUGUGAAAGCUCCUGGCUCAACUGGGAGAGGUCGCUCAAGACUGACGGACUUGAGGGUGGUAGGGGAAGGCGGAAUUCCGGGUGUAGUGGUGAAAUGCGUAGAUAUCCGGAGGAACACCAGUGGCGAAGGCGGCCUUCUGGACCGCCCCUGACGCUCAGAUGCGACAGCUAGGGGAG
RNAcentral lists this ribosomal RNA (245 nucleotides) under uncultured bacterium. Its description in RNAcentral is "partial 16S ribosomal RNA". It matches the Rfam family "Bacterial small subunit ribosomal RNA", at positions 524 to 768 of the family's 1533-position model. The record is from RNAcentral.